GGGCCUGUGGUCUAGUGGUAUGACGUCCCGUUGACAUCGGGGAGAUCAGGAGUUCAAUUCUCCUCAGGCCCA
This 72-nucleotide transfer RNA is filed under the name archaeon. RNAcentral's name for it is "tRNA-Val". It matches the Rfam family "tRNA". Rfam says of the family: Transfer RNA (tRNA) molecules are approximately 80 nucleotides in length. Their secondary structure includes four short double-helical elements and three loops (D, anti-codon, and T loops). Further hydrogen bonds mediate the characteristic L-shaped molecular structure. tRNAs have two regions of fundamental functional importance: the anti-codon, which is responsible for specific mRNA codon recognition, and the 3' end, to which the tRNAs corresponding amino acid is attached (by aminoacyl-tRNA synthetases). tRNAs cope with the degeneracy of the genetic code in two manners: having more than one tRNA (with a specific anti-codon) for a particular amino acid; and 'wobble' base-pairing, i.e. permitting non-standard base-pairing at the 3rd anti-codon position. The record is from RNAcentral.